GAACUCGCUGUGAAGAUGCAGUGUACCCGCGGCAAGACGGAAAGACCCCGUGAACCUUUACUAUAGCUUGACACUGAACAUUGAGCCUUGAUGUGUAGGAUAGGUGGGAGGCUUUGAAGUGUGGACGCCAGUCUGCAUGGAGCCGACCUUGAAAUACCACCCUUUAAUGUUUGAUGUUCUAACGUGGACCCGUAAUCCGGGUUGCGGACAGUGUCUGGUGGGUAGUUUGACUGGGGCGGUCUCCUCCUAAAGAGUAACGGAGGAGCACGAAGGUUGGCUAAUCCUGGUCGGACAUCAGGAGGUUAGUGCAAUGGCAUAAGCCAGCUUGACUGCGAGCGUGACGGCGCGAGCAGGUGCGAAAGCAGGUCAUAGUGAUCCGGUGGUUCUGAAUGGAAGGGCCAUCGCUCAACGGAUAAAAGGUACUCCGGGGAUAACAGGCUGAUACCGCCCAAGAGUUCAUAUCGACGGCGGUGUUUGGCACCUCGAUGUCGGCUCAUCACAUCCUGGGGCUGAAGUAGGUCCCAAGGGUAUGGCUGUUCGCCAUUUAAAGUGGUACGCGAGCUGGGUUUAGAACGUCGUGAGACAGUUCGGUCCCUAUCUGCCGUGGGCGCUGGAGAACUGAGGGGGGCUGCUCCUAGUACGAGAGGACCGGAGUGGACGCAUCACUGGUGUUCGGGUUGUCAUGCCAAUGGCACUGCCCGGUAGCUAAAUGCGGAAGAGAUAAGUGCUGAAAGCAUCUAAGCACGAAACUUGCC
RNAcentral lists this ribosomal RNA (755 nucleotides) under Escherichia coli. Its description in RNAcentral is "partial 23S ribosomal RNA". It matches the Rfam family "Bacterial large subunit ribosomal RNA", at positions 2044 to 2798 of the family's 2925-position model. The record is from RNAcentral. Lineage: Bacteria; Pseudomonadati; Pseudomonadota; Gammaproteobacteria; Enterobacterales; Enterobacteriaceae.